RNAcentral lists this ribosomal RNA (482 nucleotides) under uncultured bacterium. Its description in RNAcentral is "partial 16S ribosomal RNA". It matches the Rfam family "Bacterial small subunit ribosomal RNA", at positions 30 to 507 of the family's 1533-position model. The record is from RNAcentral.
AUUGAACGCUGGCGGCAUGCUUUACACAUGCAAGUCGAACGGUAACAGGCCGCAAGGUGCUGACGAGUGGCGAACGGGUGAGUAAUGCAUCGGAACGUGCCCAGUCGUGGGGGAUAACUACUCGAAAGAGUAGCUAAUACCGCAUACGACCUAUGGAUGAAAGCGGGGGACCGUAAGGCCUCGCGCGAUUGGAGCGGCCGAUGUCAGAUUAGGUAGUUGGUGGGGUAAAGGCUCACCAAGCCAACGAUCUGUAGCUGGUCUGAGAGGACGACCAGCCACACUGGGACUGAGACACGGCCCAGACUCCUACGGGAGGCAGCAGUGGGGAAUUUUGGACAAUGGGCGCAAGCCUGAUCCAGCAAUGCCGCGUGCAGGAAGAAGGCCUUCGGGUUGUAAACUGCUUUUGUACGGAACGAAACGGCUCUGGUUAAUACCCGGGGCUAAUGACGGUACCGUAAGAAUAAGCACCGGCUAACUACGUG